AGUGGUGUACAGGUGAGUAAUAAUUAUCAACCGACCUUAAGGUAGGGGAAAAUAAAUCCCUUAUAUAAAAAAAGGAAAUUUCCGCCUUAAGAAGAAUCGAUAAUUAAAAGAGAUAGGUAGUUGUUAAAGUAACGGUUUAACUAGCCGAAUAUUCUCUUAGUCGAAAUUGAAUGGUUGAUCGACCACAUUGGGGAUGAGAAAAACCCAAGACAAGCGAGUACAGCAGUGGGGAAUUUUAGUCAAUGGCCUAACGGCUGAACUGGCAACUUGGAGGAAUGGCCUAUAUUAGAGUGAAAAGGUUAAAUUAAUUAUAUAGUGAAAUAAAAUUCUAAAUAUAUCAUUUAUAAUGACUAUGUAUAUUUAUGUCUUGACUAAUUACGUGCCAGCAGUCGCGGUAAUACGUAAGAGACUAGUGUUAUUCAUCUUUACUAGGUUUAAAGGGUACCCAGACGGAAGAAAUUUGCCAAAAAAAGGAACAGUCUCUAUCUAGAGUUAAAAAAAAAAAGGUCGAAUCUAUGGAGGAGAACUAAAAAACUAAGAUACUAUAGAGACGGGUAAGGCGAAGGCAACCUUUUAGGUAAUAACUGACGUCGAAGGACGAAGGCUAAGGUAGCGAAAAGGAUUAGAGACCCUUGUAGUCUUAGCAGUAAAUUAUGAAUGCCACUUAUUAAUAAUAUUUAAUUAGUAAAUGAAAAUGUAAGCAUUUCACCUCAUGAGUAAUGUGGCAACGCGGGAACUGAAAUCACUAGACCGUUUUUGACACCAGUAGUGAAGUAUGUUAUUUAAUUCGAUGAUCCGCGAAAAACCUUACCACAACUUGAAUUAUUUAUAUUUAUAUACAUAUAUAUAAAUAACUAGUGUUGCACGGCUGUCUUCAGUUAAUGUUGCAAAACUGUGGCUUUGGCCAUGUAAUUAACAAAAACCCCUACUUUAUUUAUUAAUAUAAAUUUUAUAAAGUAUUUUUUACUCUAAAUAUCGAGAAAAUAAUAGGGACAAAGACAAGUCAUCAUGGCCUUUGUGUUGUGGGCUAUAGACGUGCCACAUUUUCCUAGACAAAGAGAUGCAAAAAUGAAAAUUUAAGCUAAUCUCAAAAAUAGGAUAAAAAAGAUAUGGAUUGUAGUCUGAAACUCGACUAUAUGAAUAAGUAAUUACUAGUAAUCGUGAAUCACCAUCGUCACGGUGAAUUUUAAAUCGGAUUGGUACUAACCACUCG
This 1213-nucleotide ribosomal RNA is filed under the name Ophiostoma minus. RNAcentral's name for it is "small subunit ribosomal RNA". It matches the Rfam family "Bacterial small subunit ribosomal RNA", at positions 94 to 1396 of the family's 1533-position model. Lineage: Eukaryota; Fungi; Ascomycota; Sordariomycetes; Ophiostomatales; Ophiostomataceae. The record is from RNAcentral.